GUAGCUGUGGUGUAACUAACACAUUAGUUUUUCAUACUAAAGAUGUGUCAAGCACCAUCUAUU
Molecule: transfer RNA, 63 nt
Filed under: Sternaspis buzhinskajae
Lineage: Eukaryota; Metazoa; Annelida; Polychaeta; Terebellida; Sternaspidae
Description: tRNA-Glu
Source: RNAcentral